CGACGGGAGCUUGCUCCCUUAGGUCAGCGGCGGACGGGUGAGUAACACGUGGGUAACCUGCCUGUAAGACUGGGAUAACUCCGGGAAACCGGGGCUAAUACCGGAUGCUUGAUUGAACCGCAUGGUUCAAUCAUAAAAGGUGGCUUUUAGCUACCACUUGCAGAUGGACCCGCGGCGCAUUAGCUAGUUGGUGAGGUAACGGCUCACCAAGGCGACGAUGCGUAGCCGACCUGAGAGGGUGAUCGGCCACACUGGGACUGAGACACGGCCCAGACUCCUACGGGAGGCAGCAGUAGGGAAUCUUCCGCAAUGGACGAAAGUCUGACGGAGCAACGCCGCGUGAGUGAUGAAGGUUUUCGGAUCGUAAAACUCUGUUGUUAGGGAAGAACAAGUACCGUUCGAAUAGGGCGGUACCUUGACGGUACCUAACCAGAAAGCCACGGCUAACUACGUGCCAGCAGCCGCGGUAAUACGUAGGUGGCAAGCGUUGUCCGGAAUUAUUGGGCGUAAAGCGCGCGCAGGCGGUUUCUUAAGUCUGAUGUGAAAGCCCCCGGCUCAACCGGGGAGGGUCAUUGGAAACUGGGGAACUUGAGUGCAGAAGAGGAGAGUGGAAUUCCACGUGUAGCGGUGAAAUGCGUAGAGAUGUGGAGGAACACCAGUGGCGAAGGCGA
Molecule: ribosomal RNA, 671 nt
Filed under: uncultured Bacilli bacterium
Lineage: Bacteria; Bacillati; Bacillota; Bacilli
Description: bacterial SSU rRNA
Rfam family: Bacterial small subunit ribosomal RNA
Source: RNAcentral